This 2516-nucleotide ribosomal RNA is filed under the name Candidatus Uhrbacteria bacterium CG11_big_fil_rev_8_21_14_0_20_41_9. RNAcentral's name for it is "bacterial LSU rRNA". It matches the Rfam family "Bacterial large subunit ribosomal RNA", at positions 1 to 2484 of the family's 2925-position model. The record is from RNAcentral. Lineage: Bacteria; Candidatus Uhriibacteriota.
AGAUUAUAAGAGUAUACGGAGGAUGGCUCGACAAAAUAUGACGAUGAAGGACGUGGCAGCCUGCGAAAAGUUUCGGUGAGGUGGCAAGCAACCUAUGACCCGGAAAUAUCCCAAUGGGGAAACCCAAUCAGGGGAAUGCCUGAUUAUUCUGCAGUGAAUACAUAACUGCAGGAGGUGAACUCGGCGAAGUGAAACAUCUCAGUAGCCGGAGGAAAAGAAAAUAAGGAAUACUAUCAUCAUCUCGGAUCUUGAAUUUUCGAGAAACGAGAUGAUGUUAUAGUGUUCUUAUUCCCCUAGUAGUGGCGAACGAACGGGGAACAGCCCAAACCUAUAUCAUGAAGUCCGCCAACGUUUCUCUUCGGAGAAGCUACGGCGAGGCGAAAGGUAUCAGCCGUUGUGGUAUAGGUGUAGUAAGUCCUUAUGUUCCAGUCUGAUAGCUGGAGAUAUGAUACAUAGCUUCUAGUAAAAUUUGCUGGAAAGCAAAACCAAAGAAGGUGAUAGUCCUGUAUGCGAAAGGAACUAUGUACAUUUGAUAAGUGAACUUGAGUACGGCGGAACACGUGAAAUUCUGUCGGAAUCAUCCGCGACUAUGCGGAAAGGCUAAAUACGUAUUUUGAUCGAUAGUGAACAAGUACCGUGAGGGAAAGCUGAAAAGAACCCCGGAAGGGGAGUGAAAUAGAAUCUGAAACCGUAUACUUACAAGGAGUCGGAGCCAAUUUAUUUGGUGACGGCGUGCCUAUUGAAGAAUGAGCCAACGAGUCUGUCUUUGUGGCAGGUUAAGUCCUUCGGGACGAAGCCAGAGUGAAAGCGAGCCUUAACGGGCGUUAGUCGCAAGGAUAGGACCCGAAACCGAGUGACCUAACCAUGGCCAGGGUGAAGCUUGUGUGAAAACAAGUGGAGGCCCGAACCCAAGCACCGUGCAAAAUGCUGGGAUGAGCUGUGGUUAGCGGAGAAAUUCCAAUCGAACUCGGUAAUAGCUGGUUCUCUCCGAGAUAUGUUUUGGCAUAGCGUCGGUUAAUAGCGUGAUGGGGGUAGAGCACUGAUUGGGUUCGACGUCAGCAAUGAUAGUCAACCUAGCCAAACUCCGAAUACCAUUACGUGUUCCCGGCAGUCAGACCAUGGGGGCGAAGCUCCAUUGGUCGAGAGGGAAAGAGCCCAGAUCUCAAGCUAAGGUCCCUAAAUUAUUACUAAGUGUAAAAGGUAGUGAGAAGACUCAUACAACCAGGAGGUUGGCUUAGAAGCAGCCAUCCUUUAAAGAUAGCGUAAUAGCUCACUGGUCAAGUUUUCUUGCGCCGAAAAUAUACCGGGGCUAAGUAAUAUACCGAAGCUGAGGGUGUGAUAAAUUUAUUUAUCACGCGGUAGGAGAGCAUUUCUAACUGCAUUGAAGCUGUACUGUGAGGUAUGGUGGAGCGUUAGGAAGGGAGAAUGUUGGCAUGAGUAGCAAAAAGACAUGUGAGAAUCAUGUCCACCGAAAAUCUAAGGUUUCCACAGCAACGAGAAUCGACUGUGGGUUAGUCUGGACCUAAGGCGAGGCCGAAAGGCGUAGUCGAUGGACAGUAGGUUAAUAUUCCUGCACCAGAUAUUAUUUCCGAUGGGGGGACGCUUGUUCGAAUUUCCUGUGCCCUAUGGCUAUGGCAUUGGGGGUUUGGGGUGGUCGUAUAGGUAAAUCCGUACGACAUAUACACUCUGAAUCAUCGCGACUCCAACUAUGUUGGGGAAGAGGAAAAGAGAAUGGGUCAAGAAAAUCCUCUAGGGCUAAGUAAUAUCUGCCAGUACCAAAACCGACACAGGUAGAUGGGUGUGAAAGCACUAAGGUGUACGAGAGAAACAUUGUUAGGGAACUCGGCAAAACAGCGGCCGUAACUUCGGGAUAAGGCCUGGUUCUUUUCGGGAGAAAAGGACCUUCAACAAAUGAUUGCAAGCGACUGUUUACCAAAAACACAGCUCCCUGCUAAACUGCAAAGUGAUGUAUAGGGGGUGANNNNNNNNNNNNNNNNNNNNNNNNNNNNNNNNNNNNNNNNNNGGGUGAGUUCCGACCUGCACGAAUGGCAUAACGAUUUGCAAACUGUCCCAACAAUGUACUCGGCGAAAUUGCGGUAAGAGUGAAGAUGCUCUUUACGCGUAGUCGGACGAAAAGACCCCGUGAAGCUUUACUACAGGUUGUCAUUGGGUUCAUGUUCUAUAUGUUCAGUAAUAGGUGGGAGACCUUCGGGUCGCCAGUGAGAUACCACCCUUGUAUUGUGUGAAUCCUAACCAAGCACCAUGAAUCUGGUGUUUGGAACAGUGGCUGCUGGGUAGUUUGACUGGGGCGGUGGCCUCCUAAAAAGUAACGGAGGCGUCUACAAAGGUCAGCUAGGCCCGGAUGGAAAUCGGGUUGAUAGUGCAAACGCAUAAGCUGGCUUUACUGCAAGGAUGACAGUCCGCGCAGUUGCGAAAGCAGAGGUUAGUGAUCCGACCGUUCGAUAUAGGACGGCGGAAGCUCAACGGAUAAAAGCUACUCCGGGGAUAACAGGCUA